Molecule: long non-coding RNA, 1912 nt
Organism: Poecile atricapillus (Black-capped chickadee)
Lineage: Eukaryota; Metazoa; Chordata; Aves; Passeriformes; Paridae
Exons: 9
Source: RefSeq, a predicted model, not a curated record
CUGGGAAUAUUUGUGGUUAAGAGCAAGGUGUGGCUCAGUGAUAUAACUGCCUUGGCUGGUCACAUGCUAGGAACUAGGAGCAGCAGGAAAGCUUAAACACUGUGGUUUCCUACAUGUCCUGGCACAAAAGUUACCAUUUGGCUUCUUCACCACUUCUCCUCCCCCUGAUUAGAGCAAUGAAUGGGACGCUGAGUUUUGAUUAGCUGCUUUUAGCAGAAGGAUGACAAGCACCAUGGUGUUCACCUCCCCUCGGUAUGUAUCUGUACUAGCAAAUUCAGUCUUCUACAGUCUCCUACAGGAGACAAGCACUGUAGAAGCUGCGGUUUCUCUGACAGGAAGUGGGACCAGCUUCCUGCUUCUCAUCUCCUGAUACCCACACUGGAUUGGUGUCAGCAGUGGCUGCUCACAGGUGGCACUCCACAGAGACACACACCGAGUCAGUUCCACCCAGCUUAGCAGAUGCUCAGACUGACCGCAUCCGUUACAUUCAGGUCAUGUUGUCAAACUUCCAAUUACUUGGAGGGAAACAUCAUUACAGCAGACUGCACUGUGUACUUCAGAUUAAGUACAGAGAUGAAGAUUAACUAGAAGCAACAAAUGGAAUAUAACUAAGCAAAGGAUGCAUGUGACACCUCAGCCACUUCUCGAUGGAGUACUGGAAUACCGCUGAUCCUAACUACUAAGACCAGGAACGAAAAAGAACAGAGUAAAGCUAGGCAUGUGACACUGGAUGGAAGAAGAAAGGAACCAAUAUCUCUGCAGAUCUAGAUUCAUCAAAUAACCAUGCCCACUGCCCUUCUGGAAGCAUCAGAACUUCAGCAUGUUACACUGGAAACCUGAGAAACAGCACUGCAGCAAAAGAAGGUGCAGCAGUCCAGCCUGCUGGCACUGGCACAGCAAUAGCACAAAUAAAAUGAAGAAAAAAAAAAUAUCAAUUUAGUUCUUAAUGCAUCUCAAAUAAAAGAGAAAAUAAAAAUGCUGACAAAUUAGUAAAAUAUUCUGUACAUACAAGACAUACCCUAGUUUCUUUCAAAGAAGAAUCAAUUCCAUCCUUAUGCUGAUGCAUUUGAUCUACGUGAAUCCUCCAAUCCUAAAAAGACAUCACAAAUUAAAACACAGAUGGGGUGUUUUUUCAAGACUACACAAGGAUUUUUAGACUUAAACCCAACAGACAUAAAUUGCUGCUACAGAUAUAAAAAUCUUGCAAGAGAGGACUGAUGGAUAACCACUUACUGAUCUGUAUGUUUGUGCCUUUAAAACAUUCAGAUCAAUAUAAUCUUCUUCAUUGUCUGAUUCUUCUUCCUUAAAAGAAGUUUCAAAGCAAGACUUCACCUCAAAAUUCCUGUCUUCCGUCACUAUGAUCAGCUGAGAGCCCAUCACCUGCAGCUCCAAUGAGGCAACUGAAGGAAAAGCAGACAAAGGCAAGGAACAGAUGCAGUAUAGAAAUCUUUAAGGCUGUGGUAAGAGGAGCAGAAGAGGCAGCAGGGAGCAGAAGAGGCAGCAGCCACAAGUGAUCUGUUGGAUGGUCAAGCACACAAGUGACAAGGCAAGUAGUUCCUGGCAGUUUGUACAGCCUUUUACUCCUUAACAAAGGGAAAAAAAAGAAAAAAAAAAAGAAGAAAACAUGAAUACUAUUGUAAACAACUUCCUACACUACAAAUGAAGUCAUUGGCUUUGGCAGGAACAGAAUUACAAACUGUGUAAACCUUCCAGAUAAAAUUUCUGAAAAUUAUGCUACUAUAAAUGAGCAACAUAUGUAGCACUACAAAAGGUAAGCCUGGUUUAAUCCAUUUUACAGACUGUAGAACAAAAGUAACUGGAAUAAUUUAUAAGACCAUUUCUGUAGUGCUAAAAAAAUAAUCAGCAAGUAGGUAUUACUUGCCUAUGUAAACUUCCAGUUAACUGAGUAACA